This 230-nucleotide non-coding RNA is filed under the name Clostridiales bacterium. Its description in RNAcentral is "T-box sequence". It matches the Rfam family "T-box leader". From Rfam's summary of the family: Uncharged tRNA acts as the effector for transcription antitermination of genes in the T-box leader family. T-boxes are found upstream of many aminoacyl-tRNA synthetase genes and some amino acid biosynthetic genes usually in Gram-positive bacteria. The anticodon of a specific tRNA base pairs to a specifier sequence within the T-box motif, and the NCCA acceptor tail of the tRNA base pairs to a conserved bulge in the T-box antiterminator hairpin. The record is from RNAcentral. Lineage: Bacteria; Bacillati; Bacillota; Clostridia; Eubacteriales.
GUAAAAGUCAUGACGAUGCAAAGUAGUUGUUAUUAUCUUUAUAAGAGAGGAAUUGUACUAGCUGAAACCAAUUCUAAAGUAAUCAUAGCAAACGAAAUUUCACAUCCGAACUGUUGCUUUGAACGUUUACAGUAGAAGCCAACCGCCAAAAGCCCGUUAAGCUAGGAGAAUUCACAGACAAAAUUGUGAACUAAAUUUAGGUGGUACCACGGGUAAAACUCGUCCUUGUU